UGAGGAAUAUUGGUCAAUGGACGCAAGUUUGAACCAGCCAAGUAGCGUGCAGGAUGACGGCCCUAUGGGUUGUAAACUGCUUUUAUAUGGGGAUAAAGUGGGGAACGUGUUCCCUUUUGCAGGUACCAUAUGAAUAAGGACCGGCUAAUUCCGUGCCAGCAGCCGCGGUAAUACGGAAGGUUCGGGCGUUAUCCGGAUUUAUUGGGUUUAAAGGGAGCGUAGGCCGUUUGGUAAGCGUGUUGUGAAAUGUAGGAGCUCAACUUCUAGAUUGCAGCGCGAACUGUCAGACUUGAGUGCGCACAACGUAGGCGGAAUUCAUGGUGUAGCGGUGAAAUGCUUAGAUAUCAUGAAGAACUCCGAUUGCGAAGGCAGCUUACGGGAGCGCAACUGACGCUGAAGCUCGAAGGUGCGGGUAUCGAACAGG
RNAcentral lists this ribosomal RNA (424 nucleotides) under Verrucomicrobiota bacterium. RNAcentral's name for it is "Verrucomicrobia bacterium partial 16S ribosomal RNA". It matches the Rfam family "Bacterial small subunit ribosomal RNA", at positions 355 to 776 of the family's 1533-position model. The record is from RNAcentral. Lineage: Bacteria; Pseudomonadati; Verrucomicrobiota.